UGGGGAAUAUUGGACAAUGGGCGCAAGCCUGAUCCAGCAAUGCCGCGUGUGUGAAGAAGGCCUGCGGGUUGUAAAGCACUUUCAGUGGGGAAGAAAAGCCUACGGUUAAUAACCGUGAGUCUUGACGUAACCCACAGAAGAAGCACCGGCUAACUCCGUGCCAGCAGCCGCGGUAAUACGGAGGGUGCGAGCGUUAAUCGGAAUUACUGGGCGUAAAGCGCGCGUAGGCGGUUUGGUCAGUCGAAUGUGAAAGCCCAGGGCUUAACCUUGGAACUGCGUUCGAUACUGCCUGACUAGAGUAUGGUAGAGGGAAGUGGAAUUUCCGGUGUAGCGGUGAAAUGCGUAGAUAUCGGAAGGAACACCAGUGGCGAAGGCGACUUCCUGGGCCAAUACUGACGCUGAGGUGCGAAAGCGUGGGGAGCAAACAGGAUUAGAUACCCCCGUAGUCC
Molecule: ribosomal RNA, 449 nt
Filed under: uncultured prokaryote
Description: bacterial SSU rRNA
Rfam family: Bacterial small subunit ribosomal RNA
Source: RNAcentral